RNAcentral lists this long non-coding RNA (265 nucleotides) under Malus domestica (apple). RNAcentral's name for it is "long non-coding RNA (MDOM_LNC005113)". The record is from RNAcentral. Lineage: Eukaryota; Viridiplantae; Streptophyta; Magnoliopsida; Rosales; Rosaceae.
UCAUCUUCUUGCAUCCUCUAAUAGAUCAAGUUUUCAAAAAAGAAAAUCUGAAAAAACAAAAUUUGAUGAGAACAAUGAAGCGUAAAUGUAAACAACAAUCAACGGUUAAAUUUUGAUAUAUGAUUUAUAUGAUUCUAGCGGCGAAUUUCGAAGUUAAGCUCUUCAUGAAAGUUGUAAAGCUUGUCAUUAUGAGCGUUUAUAUAUUUUUUCUAUAUUUUUUUACACUUCUACAUUAAUUAAAAAACUAUUAAAGAGUUUAGGUAAG